This is a long non-coding RNA of Oncorhynchus gorbuscha (pink salmon), 2370 nucleotides long. RefSeq lists it as uncharacterized. The record is from RefSeq and is a predicted model, not a curated record. NCBI's taxonomy places the organism in Eukaryota, Metazoa, Chordata, Actinopteri, Salmoniformes, Salmonidae. The transcript is spliced from 4 exons.
AUGAAACAGAGUGGCGGGAGGAAUGUGCUGAGGCAGGAGAAAGGAUAACGAAUUUGAAAGAUGACAGCUGCAAUGAUGCCUUAGAAGGAGAAGAAGAGGAAGAUAUGAAUGACAGUGAAGGACUGCUUCUAUUAAUAAACCUGUCUAAGGCAGACAGCCAGGCUCUGACUAACUGGCAGCAGAGAGGACGAGAAUGAGGAAGAUGAAGACUUCCGGCUGAGCCUGAUGACGUCCAGACCUCUCUCUAAGCCAGGAAGUGAUAUCCUAGAAUGUGAGCCCACAGUCUCUUCACAGAGGGAAAACCAUGAGACAGCAGCCUGCCUCCUCUCCUCUACCUCUCCGUUCGGAAACCAUGGAACGUGGGACAGCCACAACCCCAACCUCCGCCCUACAGAGCCCUCUGACCUGCUGCAUCCCAGACUCAGACUCCCCCGUCAUGGUCAGCUCAUAGGAAGAGAUUCAAAAAAGUGAAACUGAAGAUCAGAAAAUCCCUUUGUCUAUGAUGGAAAAAACGGUAUCAACAAGAAGUCUCAAGUUUGACUCUGACGGUACAGGACAACUUCACAACAGUUGAACCAAUUAUUACAGAAAACAACCAUUCUGAAACCUGUUAAAUCUCUUCAAACUAAAUAAAACUUUUCAAUUACAGUAAUCCCCAAGUUUGACACAUUUUUGAAUUUUCUUCUUCCCUUGUGAGACAAACGUAGAAUGUGAUAUAUUAAACAAACCUGGUAUAGUGAAAGUAAGAUACUUUCAUCCAUGGGAGUGUCCCUGGCCUGGAGGCAUGCUGUUGUCUCAUUCUUAUCUUAACUUACAGCAUGCAUCGGCAAGGAACCUGUUUCCAUAUCAAAAACAAAUCAAUACAUGAUCAAAUGUGAAACCUAGUGAUUUUUCGGUGGUUGGCGGUUUAUUAGAGAUAAGGGUGGGUUUAGGACAGACUCUCCCUAUAUCUCUUCUGUGUCUGCUUUCACAUUUACUGAAGCAAUCCACUGUAAUAAAGAAGAAAGAACAACUCUCUGAUUACUCAACCAUGUUUCUCAUUCAAACACUCGGGAUCAGUUUCUAUGGCUACACGAAUUCUGAUACAGUUAGAUAUCUUUAUCUUAACUAACCAUGUUAUUCUAUGGUGGACUAAAUGUAUGUAGGCAGCAUUGGGAUUUAAGUUCACAACAUAAGGAAACAUUACUUUCCUUGUUUCCUCUGACAGCGCUUGUUUCAAAUAAUAAUAACAAUAAUAAUAAUAACAAUAACAAUAAUAAUAACAGAGCCUGUUUCUAGUUCCCAAGGGCCAACUCUGUCUGUAGAUGUUGGACUUAUUACCUCUAUAGGCAAUCACUUGUUCAGCAGCCCAGCAACAUAUGUCAUGUGAAGUGGGGCUAGAUGGGGGAGAGGGUCCAGGAUGUUUUUCAGUACCUGAUAAUAUUCUCUGCCUGCUGUUGUAUUGGGCUGGUGAUUGUGAAAGCACUAAGUCAGCCUUUAUGGACCUCGAGGACAUACUGUCCUGAACCUCUGGUUUGAAUUAAGAGCUUUUUAGGAUGAUAUUCAUCAUUCCCUUAGUUAUUCAGCUGUACAAUUGUAGAAGAGCUGUCUCUCACUGGGCUUAGUGAAUAAUUUAUUAUUACAUUUAUUAUUUUCCCAAAAAUGUCCCCCUUAACUUUGUUUUAGUUUAUAGUAGACAGAAUAUGUGCAGUAAAAGAGAUGACUCAUCCUGAUUACUCAGGAAAGUGUAGUCUUGCCCAUGUUUAAAAGCUAUUUUAUUUUUCUUUAACAAGCUUAAAUAUGUCAUACAAAAAGCAUUGACAUAGCAAACAUUAAAUAAAACAUUUUUCCUUGUGUGAAGAGAAUGUGUAGGAACAUACUGUUCUGACACUUGGUCUUGAUGGGCGCUGAAUAAGUAGACGACUGCUUCAACAGGGGGCGGCAGGUAGCCUAGUGGUUAGAGAAUUGGACUAGUAACCCAAAGGCUGCCCCUGAACAAGGCAGUUAACCCACUGUACCUAGGCCGUCAUUGAAAAUAGGAAUUUGUUCUUAUGUCUAGUUAAAUGAAGGUAAACAUAGCAACAUAAAUGGUCAGACUUGUCAUUUAUCUGUCCAUAAAACCUCUGCCUGCCUUUCUGUUGACUAACAACAUAAUAAUUAAUGGUUGCCAGAGGAGAGCGUACAGUAGCAGACAGUACAGUGUUCCAAUGUUGGGCUAGUGUAGUGUAUUUGAUUAAUUCCGUCAAAGUUUGCAUACUGUCUGUAUCUAGUUUGUUCACUAGAUGUAUCUCCAUGUCUAAUGAUUUUCUGGUAGACCAGCUUGUUUCCAAUAGUGUUCCAAUUGUUUUGGCAUCAUCACUUAUGAACACUCUUCUACUGUAGUUUUCUGGA